UGCUGUAUCAGUUGCACACCUGGAGG
RNAcentral lists this non-coding RNA (26 nucleotides) under Homo sapiens (human). The record is from RNAcentral. Lineage: Eukaryota; Metazoa; Chordata; Mammalia; Primates; Hominidae.